RNAcentral lists this ribosomal RNA (367 nucleotides) under uncultured organism. RNAcentral's name for it is "partial 16S ribosomal RNA". It matches the Rfam family "Bacterial small subunit ribosomal RNA", at positions 527 to 896 of the family's 1533-position model. The record is from RNAcentral.
GGAGGUAGCAAGCGUUACUCGGAAUUAUUGGGUGUAAAGGGCAAGUAGGCGGCUUUAUAAGUGAGGGGUGAGAUCUUCCGACUUAAUCGGAAAACUGCCUUUCAAACGAUAAAGCUUGAGGCUGGAAGAGGGAAACGGAAUUAGCAGUGUAAGGGUGAAAUCUGUAGAUAUUGCUAAGAAUACCGGCGGCGAAGGCGGUUUCCUGGUCCAGCUCUGACGCUCAAUUGCGAAAGCUAGGGGAGCAAACAGAAUUAGAUACUCUGGUAGUCCUAGCCGUAAACGAUGAGUACUAGGUGUUGGAACUUCGGUUUCAGUGCCGCAGCUAACGCAUUAAGUACUCCACCUGGGGACUACGGCCGCAAGGCUA